This 1348-nucleotide long non-coding RNA is filed under the name Androctonus crassicauda. The record is from RNAcentral. Lineage: Eukaryota; Metazoa; Arthropoda; Arachnida; Scorpiones; Buthidae.
CGAUGGUCGAACUUCCUCUGCGGCUGGGCUGUCUACGGUCGGCACGUCCGCCGAAGGCGAAGGGUAUUCUUUUAUUGCUAUCUGUUCCUCCUGUAAGAGUUGUGCUCCGUUUCGUCUAUUAAAGGCGUCAAGCAAGAAUUGCAUGCUUGGCGGAUAUUCUAAAUUUAGGGGGAGAACAAGGGCGACUCUUGCUUUUCUUCCUGUUUCCAUCCGUCGUGCUUCACUUAGUUCAAGCAUCUCUAAGAUGACGGAUGAGUCCGCAAUUUUAAUUGACGGGGUGGACGAGGGAGUCGGAGGUGGUCACUCUACCUCCCAUUCCGGACCUGUGAACUCGUCGGCCCAUCCAGCGUUCAUUUUUUAAAAGAUGUAACUCUCGGGAAGAACCUGCAGGAGGAAAUGCGUUUGAGAGAGGAAUAUUUAAUUUUAUGAUAACGUACCUAAAAUAUAUAUAUUUUUUCUUUUUAGCGAGAAGUGGUUUCUUCAGAUAAGGUCCGUGUGAUGGACCUGAUAUGCUUCAUAAUUAAAUUGAGGGCUACGUUUCCCCUCUCUAUUAGGCACGCCAAUUCCUCUGUUCCAAUACGGACGCCAUCAUUUUCUUUUCGUAGUUGAUACAGGUUCGCGUACACCCCCCUCUAACAGGAGCUUCGACAUGUCUGUUUUCGGCCAUAAUGGAAUGAUACCUGAAAUCUAUGAGAGUGCCACCUCUUCUGUACGUAUUAGUAGGAUAUGUCCAGCUGUGUAUGACCAUAGAUAGAUAGCUUUUAUAUUAUAAUAAUAAAGUACUAGCUGAACCCGUGCGAAUAGUUCGCAUAGGAUUGGAAGGUUUAUAUAUUAAAAUAAUUUUAGGUAACAUUUGAACUCACCUGCCGACGGCGAGCGCGUCCAGUCGCAACUUGUAUUCAGCGCCGCCUGAAGGAUCAUGGCGAAAUAGCCGAUUGCGUGUUUCGAUGUUCUGCGUGUGCACGCAGGCGUCUGUUAUCGAAACGAACCUGCAAAACAAAAAACCCGUUAGACUAGUUGCCAUGUGAAGAGCGGCCCCAGCGUCCGCGGACAGGCACCUCGUGGCGCGAAGAGGAUAUACAGCCCGGCCAUACUCAUCUUCCCGGGCCCCCGCACGCUGUGGUUCAUAGUUUUGUGUGCGGCGAACCCGAGCUGUUCGCACUUCAGAUAUUGCGGAGCGCUGUCCCUUAUGAUGGUGGACCCAGGGGCUAUAUAUUCAUACAUGUACGACCAUAGGCUCAUAUCGAUUUGCUCGUCAUUUAAUCUCUGCCCCACCUAAAAGGUACUACAGAGUUAUCAAAGCCUCGGCAUAAUCAUAGCCUGCCACUCGGGUGCGGUCUCGCCUGCC